CACUCCUGCGGGAGGCAGCAGUGGGGAAUAUUGGACAAUGGGCGCAAGCCUGAUCCAGCCAUGCCGCGUGAGUGAUGAAGGCCCUAGGGUUGUAAAGCUCUUUCACCGGUGAAGAUAAUGACGGUAACCGGAGAAGAAGCCCCGGCUAACUUCGUGCCAGCAGCCGCGGUAAUACGAAGGGGGCUAGCGUUGUUCGGAUUUACUGGGCGUAAAGCGCACGUAGGCGGACUAUUAAGUCAGGGGUGAAAUCCCGGGGCUCAACCCCGGAACUGCCUUUGAUACUGGUAGUCUUGAGUUCGAGAGAGGUGAGUGGAAUUCCGAGUGUAGAGGUGAAAUUCGUAGAUAUUCGGAGGAACACCAGUGGCGAAGGCGGCUCACUGGCUCGAUACUGACGCUGAGGUGCGAAAGCGUGGGGAGCAAACAGGAUUAGAAACCCCUGUAGUCCCAUGA
RNAcentral lists this ribosomal RNA (450 nucleotides) under uncultured organism. RNAcentral describes it as "partial 16S ribosomal RNA". It matches the Rfam family "Bacterial small subunit ribosomal RNA", at positions 334 to 800 of the family's 1533-position model. The record is from RNAcentral.